UGAAAGCAUUAUUAGCUUUAAUGCUGGAUCCUUACUUCUCAACAUAUAUAGUGCCUGAAUCUAACUACUAGUCUAUAGAAAGAAAAAAAAACAAAAUUUAUAUUUGUAAAUUAACUGAUAUAUGCAACUACAGGACUGCAAAAGAGCAAUCUCUCGUCACAUUUGCGAUUGCCACAGAAGAGACCGAAUAUGCUCAUGUCUCAGAAUGCCCUGUCUNNNNNNCAGCGAAGGACAUGUGGCAUGAAAUUAUACAGGUUAUGGACCUUUAAGAUCUUACUUUUAUGAAAUAUAUAUGUUGAGUUAUUCAUUCUUCCUUCCUUCCUCUCCCAGAUAAGCUUUUAUUGUGUUCUUAGCAUUCUAUAAAAACAAGUACUUAGAAUUUUGUCUCUGUCAUUUUCCUUUUGUUUUGUGUGUCUGACACUCUUCUUAUCAUGAACAUUAUCAGUACUUGAGUCUCCUUGAACAUCACUCUNNNNNNNNNNNNNNNNNNNNNNNNNNNNNNNNNNNNNNNNNNNNNNNNNGUCUCCUUGAACAUCAUUCUUUCAUUAUAUUUUAAGAUUAAAAGUCAAAUUAGAGCAACUUUCUAUCCCAAAUUUGAAAAUGAAAAGUCAGAUCAAGAGGUAUAUGAUUCCUGUCUCAGUUUUUUCUGCUGGAUAAAUUACUUAAUGACUCUAGUCCCUGAAUGUGAAAAAGCUAGUUGUUGCCUUAUAAUUGCCACUCGAGCAAUUAUCUCUAUCGGUGUCCUCUUUUCUACUAAAAAAAUAUGAAUUUUUAUUCAUAAUAAUGCAUGAAUGGAUAUAUAUAUAUUCUGCUUGGAUGACCCUUGGUCCCUAAGUUCAAUUCUGCAACUGAUAUUAAAAGUGGUUUUGCAUUAUGAGCUCAUUGACCCUUGACCCUAAUGUUUCAUAAGUUUUGUAAGGGAUGAAUGCUUCAAUGACCUUUGAGGAAAAUGCAUUAUGAAUGCUUACUUGAUACCCGGAAAAUGCUGGAUAAAUUACUUAAUGACUCUAGUCCCUGAAUGUGAAAAAGCUAGUUGUUGCCUUAUAAUUGUUACUCAAACAAUUGUCUCUAUUGGUGUCCUCUUUUCUAUUAAAAAAAUAUGAAUUUUUAUUCAUAAUAAUGCAUGAAGGGAUAUAUAUUAUGCUUUGAUGACCCUUAGUCCCUAAGUUCAAUUCUCCAACUGCAAUUAAAAGUGAUUUUGCAUUAUGAGCUUAAUGACCCUUGUCCCUAAUGUUUCACAAGUUUUGUAAGGGAUGAAUGCUUCAAUGACCUUUGAGGAAAAUGCACUAUGAAUUCUUUAUUCAUAAUGGAAACGUUGGAUGGUGGCUUUCAAAGCAAAGCAAUUUUAAUGUGNNNNNNNNNNNNNNNNNNNNNNNNNNNNNNNNNNNCCUUAAUUUGAAAGCUGGUUGUUGACCCUAGUCCUUAAAUGCUAUUAUCUAUUGUGCUUUGAUGGACCCUUAGUCCCUAAAUGCAAUUUUGCAACUACAAUAUGAAGUGAUUUUUCAAAGCAAAAGAAAGUGUUUCCUUGUAUAUGAUUGGCCCACUGAUAAAGGUUUUAAAGGAAUUCUCUAAGGAAGAAACGAAUCAACUGAAGCAAAGUACAAAGAAACCAACUCUUUGGAGUCCUCUAUGAUAUUUAUACUGUAUUGCAUCUCUUACACUGAUCAUCUGUAUUAUUAAAAUGCAGAACCUGAUCCAGCAUUGAAAAUAGUUCGUCGCCAGAUUUCACCUGUUAUAUACCUCAUAAUUACAAGGAGAGUAGCUAUCUUGUAUCAGAUUUUACUUUUACGGUAGGAAAAGCUCACUUAAAUAUAAAUUUAAGUUACGGUUUUAUAUAUAAAGUUUUCACAUGAGCUGUAAGUGCUAUGUUUUUUUAGUGGCUGUUACAGUGUUACAGUUAAAGUGUGUUAGUUUUAAAUACUUGUUUUUUGUUGAGGAAUUGAGUGC
This 1947-nucleotide long non-coding RNA is filed under the name Trifolium pratense (red clover). RNAcentral describes it as "long non-coding RNA (TPRA_LNC005477)". The record is from RNAcentral. Lineage: Eukaryota; Viridiplantae; Streptophyta; Magnoliopsida; Fabales; Fabaceae.